RNAcentral lists this ribosomal RNA (498 nucleotides) under uncultured bacterium. RNAcentral describes it as "bacterial SSU rRNA". It matches the Rfam family "Bacterial small subunit ribosomal RNA", at positions 28 to 524 of the family's 1533-position model. The record is from RNAcentral.
GAUGAACGCUAGCGGCAGGCUUAAUACAUGCAAGUCGUGGGGCAGCAGGGGUAGCAAUACUCGCUGGCGACCGGCAAACGGGUGCGGAACACGUACACAACCUUCCUUUUAGUGGGGAAUAGCCCAGGGAAACUUGGAUUAAUACCCCGUAACACAUAGAGGCGGCAUCGCUUUUAUGUUAUAGCUCCGGCGCUAAAUGAUGGGUGUGCGGCUGAUUAGAUAGUUGGCAGGGUAACGGCCUACCAAGUCUACGAUCAGUAGCUGAUGUGAGAGCAUGAUCAGCCACACGGGCACUGAGACACGGGCCCGACUCCUACGGGAGGCAGCAGUAAGGAAUAUUGGUCAAUGGACGCAAGUCUGAACCAGCCAUGCCGCGUGAAGGAUGAAGGUCCUCUGGAUUGUAAACUUCUUUUAUGGGGACGAAACCUCUUUUCUAAAGAGACUGACGGUACCCUAGGAAUAAGCACCGGCUAACUCCGUGCCAGCCGCCGCGGUAAC